Non-coding RNA from Lepus europaeus (European hare), 489 nucleotides. The record is from the annotation of a RefSeq genome assembly. NCBI's taxonomy places the organism in Eukaryota, Metazoa, Chordata, Mammalia, Lagomorpha, Leporidae.
AUGGACACGAGGGCCCCCACUCAGCUGCUGGGGCUCCUGCUGCUCUGGCUCCCAGGUGCCACAUUUGCCGUCGUGCUGACCCAGACUCCAGCCUCCACGUCUGCAGCUGUGGGAGGCACAGUCACCAUCAAUUGCCAGGCCAGUGAGGACAUUUAUAGCUAUUUAGCCUGGUAUCAGCAGAAACCAGGGCAGCCUCCCAAGCUCCUGAUCUAUGGUGCAUCCGAUCUGGCAUCUGGCGUCCCAUCUCGGUUCAGCGGCAGUGGAUCUGGGACACAGUACACUCUCACCAUCAGCGGCGUGCAGUGUGCCGAUGCUGCCACUUACUACUGUCAGCAUGCUUAUGGUUAUAGUAGUGGUAAUAUUGGUACCACAGUGAUCCAAGCCCUAACAAAAACCCCCCAGGAAAGCAGAAGUCUUGCUUGCUUGGCCGGCUGGAACGCCAUGACAGGCCUCAUCCUGGACCAGGAAGGAAGCAGGCCGGGCCCUUGA